CCUACGGGAGGCAGCAGUGAGGAAUAUUGGUCAAUGGGCGCGAGCCUGAACCAGCCAAGUAGCGUGAAGGAUGACUGCCCUACGGGUUGUAAACUUCUUUUAUCAAGGAAUAAAGUGCGGCACGUGUGCCUUUUCGUAUGUACUUUAUGAAUAAGGAUCGGCUAACUCCGUGCCAGCAGCCGCGGUAAUACGGAGGAUGCGAGCGUUAUCCGGAUUUAUUGGGUUUAAAGGGUGCGUAGGCGGACUGUUAAGUCAGCGGUAAAAUGCCGGGGCUCAACCCCUGCGAGCCGUUGAAACUGGUUGUCUUGAGAUGUCGAGAGGUAUGCGGAAUGCGUAGUGUAGCGGUGAAAUGCUUAGAUAUUGCGCAGAACUCCGAUUGCGAAGGCAGCAUACCGGCGGCGAUCUGACGCUGAGGCACGAAAGCGUGGGUAUCGAACAGGAUUAGAUACCCCUGUAGUC
This 459-nucleotide ribosomal RNA is filed under the name uncultured bacterium. RNAcentral's name for it is "partial 16S ribosomal RNA". It matches the Rfam family "Bacterial small subunit ribosomal RNA", at positions 338 to 795 of the family's 1533-position model. The record is from RNAcentral.